Molecule: small RNA, 82 nt
Filed under: Sinorhizobium meliloti 2011
Lineage: Bacteria; Pseudomonadati; Pseudomonadota; Alphaproteobacteria; Hyphomicrobiales; Rhizobiaceae
Description: putative ncRNA
Source: RNAcentral
GGCUAUUGACUCAAGCUCAUGGCGUUUUAAUUCGUCGAUCGCUUUGAGUGCUUCUUCGGCUGACCAACCUGCAGACACCGCC